RNA transcript from Benincasa hispida (wax gourd), 2669 nucleotides. It is a transcript of the gene named ubiquitin-like protein 5, with no coding region annotated. The record is from RefSeq and is a predicted model, not a curated record. NCBI's taxonomy places the organism in Eukaryota, Viridiplantae, Streptophyta, Magnoliopsida, Cucurbitales, Cucurbitaceae.
CCCAACAUUUCUGCAUAUCCAAAAAAUUCUCUUCUUUCGUUUGAGUUUCAUACUUUUCUAUUUGCAAAGCGAGGGGCGAAGAUGAUCGAGGUAGUGCUCAACGAUCGUCUCGGGAAGAAGGUCCGCGUGAAGUGUAACGAAGACGAUACGAUCGGCGACUUGAAGAAGCUCGUGGCCGCUCAGACCGGAACCAGAGCCGAGAAAAUCAGGAUUCAGAAGUGGUACAACAUCUACAAAGAUCAUAUCACUCUCAAGGAUUACGAGAUUCAUGACGGCAUGGGGCUGGAACUCUAUUACAAUUGAUUCUGAAUCGCUGUGAGUUUUUUACUGCUUUUUAUGGUUCUUGCUGUGUUUGGUGGCGUUUUGGUGUUUCCUUGUUUCGUCGGGAUUCGAUUUCUAGAACGUUUUGUUUAGUUUUUCUUGGAUUUUAGGGUUCGUUUGACGCAGCGAUUAAGAGGCAGGCGCGUGUUUUUAGAGUUUGUAAGGAUUCAGUUCUGUCUGUCCCUAAUACGAGCGAUCGGAUAUUAAUUUUCGAUGGAUGUGGUUCGGUGGACAUCGCAGAUUGUAAACCGCACUUCGAAGCCUUUGUUAAAUAGGGAUCCCGUUCUCUUUCCUUUUUCUAUUUUGGAGAUUUAUUUACGGUCCAUUGAAAUAUCAAAUCGGUUGCUAGUUUUGAAAUCAUGGUAUUUCUUCUGAUGUAUGGGUGUUUUCUCUCUCCGAGGUUUGGAAAUCCUUUGGAAAACGCGUAUUGGGAGCGCUCAAUGUGAGUCUUAUAUUUGCUGAACAAGCGCUACGGUCAAUAUUUUGAUAUCUACAACCUGUGUGUGGAAUUGUCUACCGUGUGGAUGACAGCGCGUCCUCAAGUAUCGGAAGUUUCUUUCUAAGGGAGUGUUUAGUUUUAGAAACCUACUUAUUAGUAAACAAAUCUUUGUUGUGCUUAUCUGAAUUCUCUGUUAAUUGACUCCUUAUUAUAGGGGGCUUUCAUCCUUUUCCCACCGUAUUCUCCAGCUCUUUAAAUGAGCCAGAAAUUUUAUUUUGAAGUUGAUGCAUAGCUGUGUAGCUAUGCCUUGUGCUGCGUUGUCCUUUUGGUUUUUUGCUUAUAAGGGUGCCAGAAUCACGCAUUAAUUUCCAUUCCAAGCACAGAUGGUACAGUAUUCUCUUCGUUUUAAUACCAGAUGAGGAAGGAAUUAGGAAGUAUCUGUGUUCCAUGUUGAAAAACUGCCACCAUCCUUGAACUUGAUCUAAAUAUUCUUUUAAUUGAAAAAUCAAUGUUUGAUCCAGUAUCCUUGUCAUUAUUUAAAUUCAUAUAAUAGUUUAGUUGUGUUAUGGUUACUAAUAGGAAUGUAACAGUUUCGAAGUAAAUUGGAAUCCUGAGUGGAGACCACCAAGUUAAUCUUGGUAUUUUUUUCUCUUGCUUCUCUCAAAACCAUUCUUGAAACAAUUCUUAAAAAUGUUAUCCACAGUGCCGGAGGGGUUGAAGGUGAAAUUCUUGUCUUAUUGACAAUAAAUGGGAUUAACCUUCCUCAUAAAUUUGUUAUUGAUGAAAGAAGAGGUGUUUUCUAUGUUAAGGGAAUUUCCCCUUUUUUUUUUGAUCCAUAGCUUUUUUCCCUAGCAUUGUAAAUAAUGAUAUGGAAUUUUAUUGUUCCCUUCUUUCUUACUCAUGUUAGAUACUAUCUAUCAUCUAUCUGUCAUCUGAUAGGAGUCGUAUUGGUGCAUCUCCCAAGGUGUGAAGGAAAACUUUUUUGAGCCUCAUUGUUUAGAUUGAUGGAAUUUGAGAAUUGAGCUGGGAGCCCGGUUUGUGGUUUUGGUGAGGAGGAUGACAUGAUAAAAGAGUUGAUGAAAUGAAGGAUUCGUGGUGUUUUAGGUGUCUUGUGGCAUUGUGCAAGCAUUGCUUCACUAAGAUGCAGUAUCUGCCUAAAGCACAUACCAAAUUUGGUGCGUCUCCCAAGGUGUGAAGGAAAUUUUUUUUCAGCCUCAUUGUUUAUAAGUCGAUGGGGGCAUAUAAUUAUUAGAUUGAUGGAAUUUGAGAAUCAAGCCGGGAGCCCGGUUUGUGGUUUUGGUGGGGAGGAUGACAUGAUAAAAGAGUAAUGUUCUGCUCUUUGGUUGUCUAGUUAUCAAAUCCUACUCCAAUGCUGUUUCUCUACCAUACUAUUUUUUACUCAGGUUGAUGAUUUCAAAAGUGAAGGAUCCGUGGUGUUUUAGGUGUCUUGUGGCAUUGUGCAAGAGCAUUGCUUAGCUUCCCUCAGUAAGAUGCAGUAUCUGCCUAAAGCACAUACCAAAUUUAGUUUUGGAUCAACCAUUUCCAAGAUUCGGUUCAAACCAACAAAAAAUACGGACAUUGUUGUUAUAGAAUUACCUUGUCAAGAAUUUCCUUUUGUGUGAUUUGGAGUUGUGGUAGCUUUCUGGAUCAAGAUUGCGCCAGAUUCUAUUGCUGUCAAAUUAUACUCAAAUUACCUUAGGAUGUGAAUAUAGUUGAUCAAAUGUUUGAAUAUGUGAAACGUGAGGUGGGCGGGAACUAAUUUACAGUCUUGGAAUAUAAAGUGGGUGACACCAAGCAUAAUAUUAGUAUAGUAUUGAUGCUUGACGAUGUGAAUUACCAUGUUUAAUCCUACAUAUUAUAUGUCAAAAAUAUUUGAAUUAUUGAUUGUUUGUUCUGAAACUUUCAAUUA